Molecule: ribosomal RNA, 356 nt
Filed under: uncultured Eurotiomycetes
Lineage: Eukaryota; Fungi; Ascomycota; Eurotiomycetes
Description: SSU rRNA
Rfam family: Eukaryotic small subunit ribosomal RNA
Source: RNAcentral
UAAGUAUAAGCAACUUGUACUGUGAAACUGCGAAUGGCUCAUUAAAUCAGUUAUCGUUUAUUUGAUAGUACCUUACUACAUGGAUACCUGUGGUAAUUCUAGAGCUAAUACAUGCUAAAAACCCCGACUUCAGGAAGGGGUGUAUUUAUUAGAUAAAAAACCAACGCCCUUCGGGGCUCCUUGGUGAAUCAUAAUAACUUAACGAAUCGCAUGGCCUUGCGCCGGCGAUGGUUCAUUCAAAUUUCUGCCCUAUCAACUUUCGAUGGUAGGAUAGUGGCCUACCAUGGUGGCAACGGGUAACGGGGAAUUAGGGUUCGAUUCCGGAGAGGGAGCCUGAGAAACGGCUACCACAUCCA